Molecule: transfer RNA, 68 nt
Filed under: Bos taurus (domestic cattle)
Lineage: Eukaryota; Metazoa; Chordata; Mammalia; Artiodactyla; Bovidae
Also listed under: 1 other name
Rfam family: tRNA
About the family: Transfer RNA (tRNA) molecules are approximately 80 nucleotides in length. Their secondary structure includes four short double-helical elements and three loops (D, anti-codon, and T loops). Further hydrogen bonds mediate the characteristic L-shaped molecular structure. tRNAs have two regions of fundamental functional importance: the anti-codon, which is responsible for specific mRNA codon recognition, and the 3' end, to which the tRNAs corresponding amino acid is attached (by aminoacyl-tRNA synthetases). tRNAs cope with the degeneracy of the genetic code in two manners: having more than one tRNA (with a specific anti-codon) for a particular amino acid; and 'wobble' base-pairing, i.e. permitting non-standard base-pairing at the 3rd anti-codon position.
Source: Rfam by way of RNAcentral
CCCAGUAGAUCUGAUGGUAAAGAAUCUGCCUGCAAUGCAGGAGACCGGGUUCAAGCCCUGGGUUGGGA